Molecule: long non-coding RNA, 147 nt
Organism: Salarias fasciatus (jewelled blenny)
Lineage: Eukaryota; Metazoa; Chordata; Actinopteri; Blenniiformes; Blenniidae
Exons: 3
Source: RefSeq, a predicted model, not a curated record
UGCUCUUCAGAUCUGGACACUAUUUAAGGCUGCACUGACAUCUAGGACCUUCAGUCUGACCGACACAGACCAAUUUCUGAGAGAAGAGAUGGAGACCUUUCUUUCUUUGUUGCUCCUGAUUUGCUCUGUCUCUGCAGCUCAGCUCAC